UACGUAGGGUGCAAGCGUUGUCCGGAAUUAUUGGGCGUAAAGAGCUCGUAGGCGGUCUGUCGCGUCUGCUGUGAAAACCUGGGGCUUAACCCCGGGCCUGCAGUGGGUACGGGCAGACUAGAGUGCGGUAGGGGAGACUGGAAUUCCUGGUGUAGCGGUGAAAUGCGCAGAUAUCAGGAGGAACACCGGUGGCGAAGGCGGCACUCUGGGCCGGAACUGACGCUGAGGAGCGAAAGCGUGGGGAGCGAACAGG
This 253-nucleotide ribosomal RNA is filed under the name uncultured bacterium. RNAcentral's name for it is "partial 16S ribosomal RNA". It matches the Rfam family "Bacterial small subunit ribosomal RNA", at positions 524 to 776 of the family's 1533-position model. The record is from RNAcentral.